This 497-nucleotide ribosomal RNA is filed under the name uncultured bacterium. RNAcentral's name for it is "partial 16S ribosomal RNA". It matches the Rfam family "Bacterial small subunit ribosomal RNA", at positions 28 to 507 of the family's 1533-position model. The record is from RNAcentral.
GAUGAACGCUGGCGGCGUGCCUAAUACAUGCAAGUCGAGCGAACGGACGAGAAGCUUGCUUUUCUGAUGUUAGCGGCGGACGGGUGAGUAACACGUGGAUAACCUACCUAUAAGACUGGGAUAACUUCGGGAAACCGGAUCUAAUACCGGAUAAUAUUUUGAACCGCAUGGUUCAAAAGUGAAAGACGGUCUUGCUGUCACUUAUAGAUGGAUCCGGGCUGCAUUAGCUAGUUGGUAAGGUAACGGCUUACCAAGGCGACGAUGCAUAGCCGACCUGAGAGGGUGAUCGGCCACACUGGAACUGAGACACGGUCCAGACUCCUACGGGAGGCAGCAGUAGGGAAUCUUCCGCAAUGGGCGAAAGCCUGACGGAGCAACGCCGCGUGAGUGAUGAAGGUCUUCGGAUCGUAAAACUCUGUUAUUAGGGAAGAACAUAUGUGUAAGUAAAUGUGCACAUCUUGACGGUACCGAAUCAGAAAGCCACGGCUAACUACGUG